Molecule: long non-coding RNA, 3406 nt
Filed under: Sus scrofa (pig)
Lineage: Eukaryota; Metazoa; Chordata; Mammalia; Artiodactyla; Suidae
Description: lncRNA (ENSSSCG00005010291.1)
Source: RNAcentral
AUGGAGCAUUGGUUUUGUCUUCAGGAAACUACUGGAAGUUCCCAGAAUCCCAGAAUUAAUCUGGGGUGUCUCAUUGAGGAAACCCUAAACAGUAGUGCUGACACCAGAAAGAACUUUCUCUUGCUGGGAAAAAAACCAGAGUUCACCUCCAGGACGAAGAUGGUAGGUCUUCUGGAAUCCAGGCUCCUUCUGUCCUCUUGUUUCACCAACCUUGCGUCAUCAUUUCAUGAUCUAAAAUCUGCAUUGUGGAGACAGAAAGGAGGGAAAGGAAAGAAGAGCAUCCUUCAUCCUAGGAGGCUUCCUCUUAACCUCAUUGGGCAGAAUUUAGUCCUGUGGCUGCACCUCCACAUAAAAGCGGGGGGAAAGUUGAACUUUUCUCCCAUCAGGCUUCUGAUCCAAAAGAACAAGUCUAGCAUGGACAACAGGAUAGACGCCUAACAGUGUCUGUCACCUGCCACUCUCUUGCCUAAAGCACUGGCCUACUAUAAGUACACAACCUUCGGAUGCCAAGGUAAUAAUCUAUGCUGUCUGGUGGGGGAAACAAAAUCCAUUAAGCUUGAGCAAUAUUGUUCACGUCACCAGUGUUUUUUCGGUUGUGUCUAUUGCAAAAUUCUAAUCUCACCUCUGAUGUGCUUACUUGUUACUGUAACAUAAGAGCCAAAUAGAUGUCAGCAGAUGCAACUAUUAAAAACUUCCAUAUCUAUUAAGACAAAACCUUUGCAGCGGCAAUAACAAAGCCAUAAAGCACUGAAAGCUAUAAAAUUAGAACAUUGAAGUUUUUAUGAAAAAGCAAAACAGAACAUUAAACCCGUCGUAUUGACCACGGUAUUUGAAACUUCCAAUUAUCAUGCUAAUUGCAAAAUCUUAGACUAGGACAUGGAAAAAAGGGAAAUAAAUUAAUGUUACCAUGAAAACCCUAAUUUUUUUUAGACCAUAACUUUGAAAUAAUUCUGCCUUGAGGUUUUAUGCAUAAAAGGAAGCAACAGAGCAGAGUGGAAAACGCAUGCGAGGGUAAUACUGACACCGACGGAGGCCAUGGAGGCUUUGAUGUCAACGCUGCCGGAGUUACAAAAGAACCAGAGCCGACUUACCUGCUGCUGAUAUUCAACUGGGGAUAAUUAAGCCACCAUCCGUUCUCCUGAGCAGAACAGACACCUUUUCUCAGAGGCAGAAGCAUGCUUCUUUAAGUUCUGCCCAAAUCAUAUCCUAAACUCACAGAAAGAAUUUCUCUUUAAAUUGUGACUUAUUGCAGGUUUUAACUGUAGCCAGUGUUUCACUUCCUUUUGCUUGUUGGUUAAUGACGGAUCCUGGUCCAAAGCGAAGGCCCCCUCCCUGUCUCCAAGGGUUUCUGAGAAUUUCCCCUGUGCUCCAUGUGCUUGUGAAAAAGCCCAGCUGAAUUUCAAGAGGCAGCUGAAAUGUUGUUUCUUUUCUUUUUUUCGGGGUCCUGGUGUCCGGGCCCUCUCCUCCCUAAUAGAGUGCUGCAUCUGCAAGCCUGGUGACUGGCAGCCGUGUCCCUGAGUGCUGUGGCUCCCCCAGCACGCUACCAGCUCUGCCGGUCACUCAUGACUCUCAGCCUUCCACCUCGAUGAUGCAUCAGCACUGCCUACAAAAUUCGUCAAAAUGCUGAGGUGUGACUGAACCCCAACAGUGGCACCAGCGUAGAUGGGAGCUGUAAACUUGCAUCAGGGGCUCAGGGUCUUCUCCCCCUUUUCCAUAAUAAUAGAAUCCAUGUUCACAGCACAAAUUAAAGCCCAGAGUUUCUAACUUCUCCUAUAGUUAAAUUUAGAAGUGUAUGUGUAAGUUCUGGCCCAAGAGAGAUAAGUGAAAAUGAAAGAGAGAUGUCAUACCCUUCUUUCCUCCAUCCAUCUUUCUGUUGGUGAGGAUGUAGAUGUGAUGGCUGGAGCUUCAGCAGCAAUCAUGAGCUAUGAGAUGACCUGGAGAAUGGAAAGUACAUGUGCAAAAACAACCAACCAAAGAAACAAACAAAAAAAGCACUUGGGUUCUCCUGACAUUAUGAAGUACAAUCUAGCUCAGAAGUAAUGGUCUCUGCACUUACAGAACGUACAAGAAAAAUAAUCUUUCUAAUCACUCUUUAUAUAUCUAGACUUACCAAUCUUACAUCUCCCUUAGGAUCUGGCAGGUAACUGACUAGGUAAUAUGAUAAUUAAAUUUAUACUAAGUUAUUCAUAGGGAAUAAUGAGUGUUUUUAUUCUAAUCUAGCAUUCUAAUAGGGUCUUGGAUGACUAGACCCCAGGAGUGACUAACACAGGUAACCUGGCAGGUAAUUUUGGUAGGUAUUUUCCGGCAGGUAGGUGUUUUGACAUCUGAUGUAAGAAAUACAGUUCUGCAAACUGUCAGGCCGCUCCAAGUUUACAUACACUGCAUGUCAGAUUCAAUUAGGAUUCCCGGAUGCUUAUCUCAACUCUCUUCUAUAUUGCUUCCACGUGUAAAACGAUGCCAACGGUGUUCAAAAUAAGACACAUGGAGCCUGGGUGAGAAGAAGUGUGGAAAUGAGCAGCUUGAAAACUUUUUACAAUUUUCAGGCUCUCCCCGUAAUCUCCAUCAGCUAGCCCUCAACUGCCCGCGAAUAAGCAGGAAUCUAAGGAAAAACAGCACCUGCCACGCAGAAACACGGCUUCUAGGUAAGUCCCUUGGCUCUGGUCCUUCCCACAAAACUGUGACCCCAACAGUCUUCCGUCUGGAAAUGAUGGGGCUCCCACGCAUGGUCGCAGCCUUCUGUUUUUCACCUCUUCAAACCAUCAAAGCCAACUUUCCUAAUUAUGUAUGAAACAGUAAUGAGUUGUUGUCAUUUUCGUAGUCGUCUUCAUGGGCUUUUCCCUAACUUCGUAGGAGUCAGAGCUAGCCGACAGCCAGGAAAAUAGACAGGAGACGCAGAAGCCCCCCCAAGUCACCAAAUCCCACCUGAGUCAACCUCAGUUUUCUGAGCCUCUCCUGGCAUCACUUCCUGUAGAAACACAGUAAUAUGACCCUGUAUCCUGGACCCCAAAGCAACAGCUUAUGACAGGCCUGUAAUUGUAAACCCACUUCCUUGAAGACAGCCAGGCCUUGAAACGCCAGGCGACCUUGGAAAACAGGGAGCACAUAACCUCUCCGUGACCUCUUAUCUUGCCCUCUUCCUCCUUCUCCCUCUGUCUUCCAUGCCACCGCUGUUUACAAUAGUGGACCCCUGGCAGGAAAUGAGUUAAACAAAAAACCAAAGCAAAAAUCCUUCCGUUACUUAACCCCCUCCUCUUGCCACAUGAAGAAAUGCCCCCCCCCCCAGCAAAGCUGGCAGUUCCAAGUUGAGUAUAAAAUAAGGCCAUUGCUUUCUACCAGGACUGGCCCCAGGUAUUGGAGGAUGGACUCAGCGCAACGAAGGAGGAAAAUUAGAAGGGAUAUAAGAGAG